AUGACCUCCCUACAGGAGAAACAGCACCAUGUCUCUGUGACCUCCCUACAGGAGAAACAGCACCAUGUCUCUAUGAUCUCCCUACAGGAGAAACAGCACCAUGUCUCUGUGACCUCCCUAAAGGAGAAACAGCACCAUGUCUCUGUGACCUCCCUACAGGAGAAACAGCACCAUGUCUCUGUGACCUCCCUACAGGGGAAACAGCACCAUGUCUCUGUGACCCUACAGGGGAAACAGCACCAUGUCUCUGUGACCUCCCUACAGGAGAAACAGCACCAUGUCUCUAUGACCUCCCUACAGGAGAAACAGCACCAUGUCUCUGUGACCUCCCUACAGGAGAAACAGCACCAUGUCUCUAUGACCUCCCUACAGGAGAAACAGCAACAUGUCUCUGUGACCUCCCUACAGGAGAAACAGCACCAUGUCUCUGUGACCUCCCUACAGGAGAAACAGCACCAUGUCUCUGUGACCUCCCUACAGGAGAAACAGCACCAUGUCUCUGUGACCUCCCUACAGGAGAAACAGCACCAUGUCUCUGUGACCUCCCUACAGGAGAAACAGCACCAUGUCUCUAUGACCUCCCUACAGGAGAAACAGCACCAUGUCUCUGUGACCUCCCUACAGGAGAAACAGCACCAUGUCUCUGUGACCUCCCUACAGGAGAAACAGCACCAUGUCUCUGUGACCUCCCUACAGGAGAAACAGCACCAUGUCUCUGUGAUCUCCCUACAGGAGAAACAGCACCAUGUCUCUGUGACCUCCCUACAGGAGAAACAGCACCAUGUCUCUAUGACCUCCCUACAGGAGAAACAGCACCAUGUCUCUGUGACCUCCCUACAGGAGAAACAGCACCAUGUCUCUGUGACCUCCCUACAGGAGAAACAGCACCAUGUCUCUGUGACCUCCCUACAGUAUCACCAGCCCUGGAAUCAGCAUGGGAGGAGUAAUACGCUGUAUCACUGGACCACAGAGUAUUUAUUUAAUUUGACAGUGUCUGGUUAUGGAAAUACAGUUAAAGCCAUGGAGGAGAAAUGCAGUGGGAGCCAGCUAUGUCCAGCCCCUGUAACAUGGCAGCUGUCCUACAUAAACCUCUGUGAAUGCAGGGGAGCAAGACACACACAUGACACACACACCUGCCAACACACCUGCCAGUGUAAUUCAUGUGGUCAUUUUUCUUACAUGAAAGAGACAGGCUUCUGUCAGAGCGGAGGGAGCCGCUGA
RNAcentral lists this long non-coding RNA (1221 nucleotides) under Oncorhynchus mykiss (rainbow trout). RNAcentral's name for it is "lncRNA (ENSOMYG00000060238.1)". The record is from RNAcentral. Lineage: Eukaryota; Metazoa; Chordata; Actinopteri; Salmoniformes; Salmonidae.